UGAGGAAUCUUCGGCAAUGGGGGCAACCCUGACCGAGCAACGCCGCGUGGAGGACGACGGUCUUCGGAUUGUAAACUCCUUUUCGCUGGGACGAGACAGGACGGUACCAGCGGAAGAAGCCUCGGCUAACUACGUGCCAGCAGCCGCGGUAAUACGUAGGAGGCAAGCGUUGUCCGGAGUUACUGGGCGUAAAGGGCGCGCAGGCGGCCGGUCGCGUUCCUGGUGAAAGCUCCGAGCUAAACUCGGAGAGGUUCAGGAAAACGGGUCGGCUUGAGCGUAGGAGAGGGGAAUGGAACUCCGGGUGGAGCGGUGAAAUGCGUAGAGAUCCGGAAGAACACCAAUGGCGAAGGCAGUGCCCUGGCCGACUGCUGACGCUCAGGCGCGAAAGCGUGGGGAGCAAACAGG
RNAcentral lists this ribosomal RNA (405 nucleotides) under Bacillota bacterium. RNAcentral's name for it is "Firmicutes bacterium partial 16S ribosomal RNA". It matches the Rfam family "Bacterial small subunit ribosomal RNA", at positions 355 to 776 of the family's 1533-position model. Lineage: Bacteria; Bacillati; Bacillota. The record is from RNAcentral.